UACGUAGGGUGCAAGCGUUGCCCGGAUUUAUUGGGCGUAAAGGGCGCGUAGGCGGCUCGGCACGUCCGUUGUGAAAUCGCCCGGCUCAACUGGGCGGGGUCAGCGGAUACGGCCGAGCUUGAGCAAGCUAGGGGGCAAUGGAAUUCCCGGUGUAGUGGUGGAAUGCGUAGAUAUCGGGAGGAACACCGGUGGCGAAGGCGGGUCUCUGGGCCGUAACUGACGCUGAGGAGCGAAAGCGUGGGGAGCGAACAGG
RNAcentral lists this ribosomal RNA (253 nucleotides) under uncultured bacterium. RNAcentral describes it as "partial 16S ribosomal RNA". It matches the Rfam family "Bacterial small subunit ribosomal RNA", at positions 524 to 776 of the family's 1533-position model. The record is from RNAcentral.